UUUCUACAGACUUUUUUUCGAUACUUAAAAUGUAUACAUUUAUGUUUAACUAUAUAUAAUAAAUAUUUAUGAGUAUAAUAAUUUGUAUACUUUAAAAAAGAAAUAAUAACUGCAAAUUUAAUAUAAACAAUUAAACAUAAUAUAACCGGAUACUUAAACCGUAACUGAUAACAUAACCGAUAAUACAAACUAAUAAAAUUAUACUCGAUUUUAUAUAUCUUACGAAUUACGAUAGUAUAUAGGGCUAAUUGACGAUAUUUUUGUUUGUUUAUUUUAUAUCAACAUAAUUGUUAUGGCAGGCAUAGGUGUGUUAACAUUACGUAUUCCGAUCUUUUAUUGUCCGACGGGAAAUAACUAUAAUAAUAAUUGUUGUGUUAAUAACAAUUGGUAGUGGAGGGAAUAAUCAUUGAUAGUUUAAUAAUAUAUUAUGUCGCGUGCAGUAGUUAUUGAACGUUUAUUUAUGAACAAUUUUCUAUAUUAUACGACACGUAAACCAGUGGCCACACUGGUGUUUUACGCAGGUGGCUUAAUCGGGGCGGGUAGGGGAGAAGGCUCGAAUAAACUUCAUUGUUAGAUAAAUGACAAAUAGUAUUAUUUAGAUAAAUUCGUAUAAUUACUGACGGCGUUCUAUUACGUAAUAUCAUAGAGUUGUAAUUACGAUUUGAGAAAAUUGUCAACGGAAAACAAGUUUUUCGAUAUUACGUGUAGGUAUUGAUACUGUUGUAAACGUUGAUUCGUUUAACUUGCGUGCCGUGACGGCCGCUAACUGCGAAGACUGUCAGAAUGCUUAAAACGUAUUUCGAAAUAAUAUUAUUAUGCGUAGGUUAGGCGCACACGGAUUUUUGACGUGAUUCCCGCAGUGACGUACUUGCACCUUUAUAAACCAGGGGAGACGUGACUUUUUAUUUUUUAUUAUUCUGGGAUAAUAGUUUUGAAAAUUCGACUUUGAGGAAAUGUCUUUGUAAUACCGCACGAUAUUGUUAUUCGCCGGGAGGGAGCUCGUGAAACUCGUAAAUACGUCACUGGCCGCAAUCGAAUUUUUGUUGUUCUAAUUAUUCUAAAGCGUAUACUUAUACACGUAAGUAUACCUAUACAAUUUACGGGGCUUCGAUUCAAAUUAUAUUAUGCAAUAGUUCUUUAGGUAAACACCCGCAAUACGACUCCGAAUCUUUGUAUAAUUAUUGUGUUUUUCACAAUAUCGAUUAUAC
Molecule: non-coding RNA, 1208 nt
Organism: Cinara cedri
Lineage: Eukaryota; Metazoa; Arthropoda; Insecta; Hemiptera; Aphididae
Source: the annotation of a GenBank genome assembly